Molecule: transfer RNA, 87 nt
Filed under: Clostridiaceae bacterium
Lineage: Bacteria; Bacillati; Bacillota; Clostridia; Eubacteriales; Clostridiaceae
Also listed under: 2 other names
Description: tRNA-Leu
Rfam family: tRNA
About the family: Transfer RNA (tRNA) molecules are approximately 80 nucleotides in length. Their secondary structure includes four short double-helical elements and three loops (D, anti-codon, and T loops). Further hydrogen bonds mediate the characteristic L-shaped molecular structure. tRNAs have two regions of fundamental functional importance: the anti-codon, which is responsible for specific mRNA codon recognition, and the 3' end, to which the tRNAs corresponding amino acid is attached (by aminoacyl-tRNA synthetases). tRNAs cope with the degeneracy of the genetic code in two manners: having more than one tRNA (with a specific anti-codon) for a particular amino acid; and 'wobble' base-pairing, i.e. permitting non-standard base-pairing at the 3rd anti-codon position.
Source: RNAcentral
GCCGAAGUGAUGGAAUUGGCAGACGUGACGGACUCAAAAUCCGUUGUUGGCGACAACGUGUGGGUUCGAGUCCCACCUUCGGCACCA